This 468-nucleotide ribosomal RNA is filed under the name uncultured bacterium. RNAcentral describes it as "partial 16S ribosomal RNA". It matches the Rfam family "Bacterial small subunit ribosomal RNA", at positions 28 to 507 of the family's 1533-position model. The record is from RNAcentral.
GACGAACGCUGGCGGCGUGCUUAACACAUGCAAGUCGAACGGAAAGGCCCUGCUUUUGUGGGGUGCUCGAGUGGCGAACGGGUGAGUAACACGUGAGUAACCUGCCCUUGACUUUGGGAUAACUUCAGGAAACUGGGGCUAAUACCGGAUAGGAGCUCCUGCUGCAUGGUGGGGGUUGGAAAGUUUCGGCGGUUGGGGAUGGACUCGCGGCUUAUCAGCUUGUUGGUGGGGUAGUGGCUUACCAAGGCUUUGACGGGUAGCCGGCCUGGGAGGGUAACCGGCGCCAUAGGGCCUAAGAUACGGCCGAGAAUCCUAUGGGCGGCAGCGGUGGGGAAGAUUGCACGAUGGGCGGAAGCCUGAUGCAGCAACGCCCCGUGCGGGAUGACGGCCUUCGGGUUGUGAACCGCUUUCGCCUGUGACGAAGCGUGAGUGACGGUAAUGGGUAAAGAAGCACCGGCUAACUACGUG